This 572-nucleotide long non-coding RNA is filed under the name Equus caballus (horse). RNAcentral's name for it is "lncRNA (ENSECAG00000060345.1)". Lineage: Eukaryota; Metazoa; Chordata; Mammalia; Perissodactyla; Equidae. The record is from RNAcentral.
CACCUACCGAGCUAACUUACUCUUUAUAACGGCUUCCGGGGUUCCGUGACUUGCGAACCUGAUCCCUGGGGAUGAACGCUUUGGCUGUGUUCGGUCUUUUGCUACAACCACAAUUCUCAUGAAUGUAAGCUCCGUCUGCUUGUUUACUGGUCAUCCCCAGGGCCUAGAACACCUGGCACAUGGAUUGAACAAGCAGAGCCGAAUGACGGUGGAAAUACACCUCAGGUGAUCGCCCAGCUCUUCUCUCACCAGUCUGUCAUCCCAAACUCUGCUACUUUUAACAUCCCCAGAGAAAAUCACUGGUUCCCAACCAAGAAGAAGUCUACUCAACAGCUUUAGCAUUGUUAUCCAACAUUUAGACCCUACCUCCUGUCAGACUAUCAUGACUAUUUGUGUUUGAAGAUUGUCCACGCCAUGGUCAUUUACAGUGACAACAAUCUUCUCCCACCCUACCAAAAAAAAGCAUUUCUAACAAAACCUUCAGACAGUUUUGCCUCAGGAUCAUACUAAGAAUUUCCACUUGUCUCGAUAAAUGUCACCUAAAUAUUAAAAUAUUUUGGCUUUGAUUUGCG